This 472-nucleotide ribosomal RNA is filed under the name Clostridium estertheticum. RNAcentral's name for it is "bacterial SSU rRNA". It matches the Rfam family "Bacterial small subunit ribosomal RNA", at positions 1 to 457 of the family's 1533-position model. The record is from RNAcentral. Lineage: Bacteria; Bacillati; Bacillota; Clostridia; Eubacteriales; Clostridiaceae.
UUAAAUUGAGAGUUUGAUCCUGGCUCAGGACGAACGCUGGCGGCGUGCCUAACACAUGCAAGUCGAGCGAUGAUUCGCUUCUUCGGAAGCGAUGAUUAGCGGCGGACGGGUGAGUAACACGUGGGUAACCUGCCUCAAAGAGGGGAAUAGCCUCCCGAAAGGGAGAUUAAUACCGCAUAAUAUGUUUUGGUCGCAUGACCGAGACAUCAAAGGAUUUUCUUCGGAGCUUCCACUUUGAGAUGGACCCGCGGCGCAUUAGCUAGUUGGUGAGGUAACGGCCCACCAAGGCAACGAUGCGUAGCCGACCUGAGAGGGUGAUCGGCCACAUUGGAACUGAGACACGGUCCAGACUCCUACGGGAGGCAGCAGUGGGGAAUAUUGCGCAAUGGGGGAAACCCUGACGCAGCAACGCCGCGUGAAUGAUGAAGGCCUUCGGGUUGUAAAGUUCUGUCUUCUGGGACGAUAAUGACGG